This is a long non-coding RNA of Sitodiplosis mosellana (orange wheat blossom midge), 1448 nucleotides long. RefSeq lists it as uncharacterized. The transcript has 4 exons. The record is from RefSeq and is a predicted model, not a curated record. Lineage: Eukaryota; Metazoa; Arthropoda; Insecta; Diptera; Cecidomyiidae.
CCGAUGUACUUUUGCUUCAGUUUCAAUUCCAUUUUCGAAGUGCAACUUACUCAAAAUGAAAGCAACAUUUUUCUUCUGCUAUUUGGUGCUGGCCAUUUUUUUACUCAGUGAUCGAUUCAACUGUCAUCCAGACACCGACGUUCCUUGUCCAGAUAAAUACGAAAAUUUACCAGCAAAAUGCUUCCACUAUGAACUUCAUCGUGAUGAAAAUUGUAAAUCUCAAUCGAUGCACAAACAAUUCUCUUAUCAAGGAAGAAUAUGUUACUGCUGUUUGAAAUACACUAAAUGAUUUACUUAUUGUAAUAAUUCCUGAAACUAUUAAAUUCCAUUCAUUUCAUUUCAAAGAGGAAUAUUGAACUCUCUUCAUUCUCAUUCAUUAAAUUUUCGAACAUUUUUAUAAAUGGAAUUGAUUUAAAAAUUGUCGAUUGAGUCAAAUAAAGUAUGUGAUGUCUUAUGUAAAAAAUUGUCGCUUUUGGUUUUGUUUAAAAGUUGUUUUGAUUUUUUUAGAAAAAGAGUCUUAUCAUCAUUGAAAUGACAGACUUCUUGGUACAGACGUUUUUUCACGUUCAGUCAAGAAUAACAGUGGCUGUGUAAUACAACAGUGUGUAUACAAACGUAUUCAAACCAAUCAAUUCAAUUGACAUACAUUUAGAAUGAUGUGAUAAGGGCUCGUAUAAAUACUUUGAUUAAGCAAUCAUAUUUCAGUUUGAGUUCUGAAUCCGGGAGACGUGGGCAUCUUUGAUUUUAAUUAAGUGAGUUUGAAACAAUGAGGGCCGCAGUUGUAUUUAUUUUAAUCGCGUUGACCAUUCUCUUGAUCAGUGAUCAAAUUAGCUGUCUUUCGAUUUGCCCGCAAACGCAUGACACCAGAGUGGUACGAUGCUACGUACAUGAGCCGGAUUGUGGCUCUGGCUCAUAUACUAAAGUUACUCGUGACCAGAGAACAUGCUUCUGCUGUAAUGAAUUCAUUCAGACUUAAGCCUAGCUGAUGAAAGACAAUAAGCAAGUAAACGAGCAAAAGGGACUUCCAACAAACAAAUAAAAUAUUGGGAAUUUAAUCAGAAAAAUGUGAAACUUUCAAAGUUAUUUUUGGUGUUCCGUCAAAAGAUAAAUCUAUUUCAAUAAAUAAAAUGGCCAGUUAACCACGUGCAAUCAAGGUUCAUUGCUUUAAAAAUACUAGAUUACUCACGUCUUUUAUACUAGCUGUUCAACAUAAAAAGCUGUCGGUUUGUAUUCAGACUUGAUCAGUUCAAUCAUGUUGCAAGCGAAUACGGGGGAUUUUCACAACGCAGUCUGAUGAGUGAGUGUAUAGUUUUUUCCAGAAAUGAAAAUUGAGAAAAGCAAUUUGCACGCAAUAGAAUAGCAUCAGAGGCAUCAGCAAGAGCAGUGGCGGCAACGGCGACCGCAGCUUUGAUUGAACAAUGAAUGAUGUGAAUCGAAAAGAGACCAUG